AAAAAAAUCUUCUGUAAAACAUAUUAGACUUAGAUUCAAAUUUGGGUUAAAAAAAACUAAUUAAGUAAUUCAGGUAAUUUAAUUUUUGGACGCCAACCCCGCCAACAACUCCAGGGUCGCUCCUUUCUCACGCCAGACUUGCUUGCUGGUAAUAUUUUGGUUCCUUGGCAAGUAGCCUACCAUAAACCCAUAUGACCUUGCCACAAUUUGCAGAAACGACAAUGUCUAAAACAAGUCUCGAAAAAGAUACCAGUUUCUCUCUAAACUUGGUCCAUCUUUUCCUAUAUAAAUUCAACACCAUUCUCAAGAGAAUAUAGAAACGUAAUUUCAUUGCUGCCCAUUUGUUUCCAAUUUAGCACUCUUCUGUUGCAGGUUUUAAGAAGUGUCAUCGAUGGCAGAUGGUAGCGAGAAUACCUUUCAACUUAGUGUUAAGCAGAAUGAACCAACUCUGGUUCCUCCUGCAGAGGAGACAGAGAAGGGUCUGUACUUCCUUUCUAACCUUGACCAGAACAUUGCAGUGAUUGUUCGUACUAUUUACUGCUUUAAGUCUGAUGUGAAAGGGAAUGAGGAUGCAGUGGAAAUUAUUAAGGAUGCUCUGUCAAAAAUUCUUGUUCACUGCUAUCCUCUUGCUGGGCGGUUGACGAUCAGCUCAGAAGGGAAGCUGAUAGUGGAUUGCACUGGGGAGGGUGCUGUUUUUGUUGAAGCUGAAGCAAACUGUUCCAUAACUGAGAUAGGAGACACCACAAAGCCUGACCCUGUCACACUUGGGAAGUUGGUUUAUGAUAUUCCGGGUGCACAGAACAUAUUUCAGAUGCCUCCUCUGGUGGCUCAGGUGACGAGAUUCAAAUGUGGAGGAUUUGUCCUUGGACUAUGCAUGAACCACUGUAUGUUCGAUGGAAUUGGUGCAAUGGAAUUUGUGAAUUCAUGGGGUGAAACUGCCAGGGGCUUGCCUCUGAAGGUCCCUCCAUUUCUAGAUAGAAGCAUACUCAAAGCCCGAAACCCACCUAAGAUAGAGUUUCCACACCAUGAAUUUGCUGAGAUUGAAGAUGUAUCAAAUACCAGCAAGCUCUAUGAAGAAGAAAUGCUUUUUAGAUCAUUCUGUUUUGAUCCUGAGAAGCUUGAACGACUAAAAAGAAAAGCCAUGGAAGAUGGAGUUCUAGCCAAGUGCACUACAUUUGAAGCUCUUUCAGCCUUUGUGUGGAGAGCUAGAUGUCAGGCAUUAAGGAUGCUUCCUGAUCAACAAACAAAAUUGCUGUUUGCUGUAGAUGGACGGUCUAGAUUUGUGCCACCAAUACCUGUGGGGUACUUUGGCAAUGGAAUUGUGUUAACAAAUUCUUUGUGUAAAGCAGGCGAUUUACAGGAUAAUCAUCUGUCUUUUGCAGUAGGAUUAGUUCAGGAGGCUGUUAAAUUGGUUAAUGACAGUUAUAUGAGAUCGGCUAUAGACUACUUUGAAGUUACAAGAGCUAGACCUUCUCUGGCUGCAACUCUUUUAAUCACGACUUGGUCUAGGCUAUCCUUCCACACAACAGACUUCGGCUACGGGGAGCCUAUUUUAUCAGGGCCUGUUGCUUUGCCUGAGAAGGAAGUAAUUCUUUUCCUUUCUCAUGGGGAAGAGAGGAAAAGCAUAAACGUUCUUUUGGGUUUGCCAGCUUCUGCCAUGAAAAUCUUCGAAGAACUAAUGCAGAUCUGAACAAUCAAAAGAUCCAUUUGAUGCUCAUACCAAUGGAAAGGUCUUCCUGAUUUAUUAUUUAUUUUUCUAUGGAAGUAUAUUAUGUGUUUUCAGUUGCCAAAAGAUGCACUUCUUCAUGCUAAUGAUAUCUGCUGGAGGAAGAAAUGCCAAUGGUAAGGUUGGGCUCUGAAAAAAAUAACAGAUGAAGUGCAAAUUCAAGUCUCCUGCUUCUUUUCUAGCAUUUCUUACCUGCAUAUGUACCUGUGUAUCUACGUCUGUAGUCUUAAGUAGACGCUUCGAUGAUAAAGCAAGCUGCUGUUUUAUUAAUUGAAUGGAGUAUUUGCA
Molecule: unclassified non-coding RNA, 2014 nt
Filed under: Hevea brasiliensis (rubber tree)
Lineage: Eukaryota; Viridiplantae; Streptophyta; Magnoliopsida; Malpighiales; Euphorbiaceae
Source: RNAcentral